This 1221-nucleotide ribosomal RNA is filed under the name marine sediment metagenome. RNAcentral's name for it is "bacterial LSU rRNA". It matches the Rfam family "Bacterial large subunit ribosomal RNA", at positions 1704 to 2903 of the family's 2925-position model. The record is from RNAcentral.
CUUAAGGAAAUCGGCAAAUUGACCCCGUAAGCUUGCGAUAAGGGGUCCCUCCAGAUGCUUCUAGUUUACUAUUGGCAUGCUGAGGGCGCAGUGAAGUGGCUCUGGCGACUGUUUACCAAAAACACAGUUCUCUGCUAACACUUAAAGAGGAUGUAUAGAGAAUGACGCCUGCUCGGUGCCGGAAUGUUAAGGAAGUAGGUUAUCCUUUCGGGGAGAAGCUUACGACUGAAGCACCGGUAAACGGCGGCCCUAACUAUGAGGGUCCUAAGGUAGCGAAGUUCCUUGUCGGGUAAGUUCCGACGCGCAUGAAUGGCGUAACGACUGGUGCACUGUCUCAAGGACGGACUCGGUGAAAUUGGAUUUGUGGUGAAGAUACCACAUACCCGCGGCAAGACGGAAAGACCCCGUGAACCUUUACUGUAGCCUGGUAUUGGCCGCAGAUAUCACAUGCGUAGGAUAGGUGGGAGGCGAUGAAGCGGCUGUUCUGGCAGUCGUGGAGCCAUCCUUGAAAUACCACCCUUGUGCUGUUUGUUGCCUAACUCCGAUACCCGUGAAGCCGGGCGGAGAACAGUGUUAGGUGGGCAGUUUGACUGGGGCGGUCUCCUCCAAAAGAGUAACGGAGGAGUGCAAAGGUCGGCUCAGCGCGGUUGGCAAUCGCGUUUCGAGUGUAAAGGCACAAGCCGGCUUAACUGCGAGACUUACCAGUCGAGCAGAUACGAAAGUAGGCCUUAGUGAUCCGGUAGUUCCGUGUGGAAGGGCUAUCGCUCAACGGAUAAAAGGUACUCCGGGGAUAACAGGCUGAUCGCCUCCGAGCGUCCAUAGCGGCGAGGCGGUUUGGCACCUCGAUGUCGGCCCAUCGCAUCCUGGGGCUGUAGGCGGUCCCAAGGGUUUGGCUGUUCGCCAAUGAAAGCGGUACGCGAGCUGGGUUCAGACCGGCGCGAGCCAGGUCGGUCCCUAUCUGCUGUGGGCGCAGCAACCUUGAGAGGAUUCUUCCUUAGUACGAGAGGAUUAGGAAGGACACACCCCUGGUGUGCCAGCUGUCCCGCUCGGGGCACCGCUGGGUAGCUAAGCACGGAAAGGAUAACCGCUGAAUGCAUCUAAGCGGGAAGCCUUCCUCGAGAUUAGGUUUCGAUGGACUUCGGUCCUGAAGGCCCCUGGAAGACUACCAGGUCGAUAGGCAGGAGGUGUAAGCAUAGAGAUAUGUUUAGCUGACCUGGACAA